CCGGCGUUUUCUUCUGCAGUCAACAGUGUCGACUCACAAUGGAGAGGAUCCUGCUAGUCUUGUUUCUUUCAGCCUGCCCUGUCCUCUCCGGCAGCCUUCCCCGUCAGUACCACUUUGUUAAUCUAUCUCUGACUUGGACUGAAGCUCUGGCCUACUGCAGACAGACUUAUACAGACAUCGUCACAAUCCAGGACUCUGAAGAACUGACCCGGCUCAUGGACACGCUUUUAUCUGCUAGGCACAGCUCUGACACCUGGAUUGGUCUCUACAGUGUAAUAGACUGGUGGUGGUCUGAUGGCUUCAUAGGGGCCGGUGCUAAUUACAGCAAUUGGGAAAUCUCUUUUAAUGAGCCCAAUUUUAUUGGAGCCAGUCAGUUCUGUGUGUCUAUUGGCAGCACUGGAUUGUGGUGGGAUGAUUACUGUGACAUAAAUUACUCAGUUCUCUGUUACAAUGGUAAUCAUGUCUAGCAAGAUUUUUCAAAAGCAUUAUUCUAAAAUAGGAUGUCAACAACUUACUGACCUCUGACUUCUUUUAAACGACAGGCACACAGCUGGAACCUGAAUAUGUUUAUGUGGACAAAGAAAUGAAUUGGUCCAGUGCCCAGAUGUACUGCAGGGAGAACUUUGUAGAUCUGGCUACAGUAAGCAGUGAUCUACAGAAUCGCAUGGUCAAGGAAUUGGUGCCUUUUGGAGCCUACUUGUGGAUUGGCCUCUUUAGAUUUCCAAACUUUUUCUGGUCUGAUGGCAGCAGCGUCUUGUUCAGCAACUGGGAUGAUGCCGACAAUCCAAUUAACUCAAUGACUAUGAUCUGUGGCAUAACAUCUGGAGACAGUAAUGGAAGAUGGAGGUUUUUGUCCUGUGAAACAAAAUUACCUGUUGUCUGCUACUACGACCCCCCACUGACAAAGCAGAGGGUGAAGCUGAGACUGAAGACUGAGGACUCUGUGAAUCUCAACGAGGCCGUUCUGAAAGAGAG
Molecule: long non-coding RNA, 975 nt
Organism: Xiphophorus maculatus (southern platyfish)
Lineage: Eukaryota; Metazoa; Chordata; Actinopteri; Cyprinodontiformes; Poeciliidae
Exons: 3
Source: RefSeq, a predicted model, not a curated record